UAGGGUAACACCCGUUCCCAUUCCGAACACGAAGGUUAAGCCUAAAGAGGCCAAUGGUACUGCAUGGGUGACCGUGUGGGAGAGUAGGUUGUCGCUA
RNAcentral lists this ribosomal RNA (97 nucleotides) under Clostridium massiliamazoniense. Lineage: Bacteria; Bacillati; Bacillota; Clostridia; Eubacteriales; Clostridiaceae. The record is from RNAcentral.